GCCGAACCACACUGCAAUCUACAGCGGCAUUUCUCCACUGAGUGGCAUGUGCAAGCAAGCAUAAAAACAACUUUCAACAACGGAUCUCUUGGCUCUGGCAUCGAUGAAGAACGCAGCGAAAUGCGAUAAGUAAUGCGAAUUGCAGAUUUCAGUGAAUCAUCGAAUCUUUGAACGCACAUUGCACCCGGCGGCACUCCGCCGGGUCUGCCUGUCCGAGCGUCGUUUCCAACCCUCGAGUCCACUGGGCACUCGGCGUUGGGGAUCUGCAGCGCGCGCGCUGCAGGCCCCGAAAUACAGUGGCGGGCCCGCCGCUGGAACCCCCUGCGCAGUAAGUUUUCUUCCUCGCAUCGGGCGCCGGCGGAGCCUGCCGUCAAGCGGAUGGGAGGGGGAGUCCUGUGGCCCCCCGCACGCCCACCACGCAGAACCACUGUCGACCUCGGAUCAGGUAGGGUUACCCGCUGAACUUAAGCA
RNAcentral lists this unclassified non-coding RNA (471 nucleotides) under Corollospora cinnamomea. RNAcentral describes it as "partial miscellaneous RNA". The stretch from base 69 to 222 matches the Rfam family "5.8S ribosomal RNA". The record is from RNAcentral. Lineage: Eukaryota; Fungi; Ascomycota; Sordariomycetes; Microascales; Halosphaeriaceae.